GUCUAACACUUGGAUUGAAGCUGACGAUACGCUAAUUAAAAAAAGACAAUGGCCUAGAGGUGCUAAAGAUGUUUUUGUCAUUCUUACAGAAAUUUGAUCAAAAGUAAUCUGUUUUUAUAUAU
Molecule: non-coding RNA, 122 nt
Organism: Linepithema humile (Argentine ant)
Lineage: Eukaryota; Metazoa; Arthropoda; Insecta; Hymenoptera; Formicidae
Source: RefSeq, a predicted model, not a curated record